This 72-nucleotide transfer RNA is filed under the name Rhipicephalus microplus (southern cattle tick). RNAcentral describes it as "tRNA-Gln". It matches the Rfam family "tRNA". From Rfam's summary of the family: Transfer RNA (tRNA) molecules are approximately 80 nucleotides in length. Their secondary structure includes four short double-helical elements and three loops (D, anti-codon, and T loops). The record is from Rfam by way of RNAcentral. Lineage: Eukaryota; Metazoa; Arthropoda; Arachnida; Ixodida; Ixodidae.
GGUAUCAUGGUGUAACGGUUAGCACACUGGACUCUGAAUCCAACGAUCCGAGUUCAAAUCUCGGUGAGACCU